This 89-nucleotide transfer RNA is filed under the name Danaus plexippus plexippus. It matches the Rfam family "tRNA". Rfam says of the family: Transfer RNA (tRNA) molecules are approximately 80 nucleotides in length. Their secondary structure includes four short double-helical elements and three loops (D, anti-codon, and T loops). Lineage: Eukaryota; Metazoa; Arthropoda; Insecta; Lepidoptera; Nymphalidae. The record is from Rfam by way of RNAcentral.
CCUUCGAUAGCUCAGUUGGUAGAGCGGUGGACUGUAGAUGGAAACGAACUGAUAUCCAUAGGUCGCUGGUUCAAAUCCGGCUCGAAGGA